RNAcentral lists this microRNA precursor (63 nucleotides) under Anolis carolinensis (green anole). RNAcentral's name for it is "Aca-Mir-92-P1c_pre stem-loop". It matches the Rfam family "mir-92 microRNA precursor family", at positions 11 to 71 of the family's 80-position model. Rfam says of the family: This family represents the microRNA precursor mir-92. The record is from RNAcentral. Lineage: Eukaryota; Metazoa; Chordata; Lepidosauria; Squamata; Anolidae.
GGGUUGGGAUUUGUUGCAUUACUUGUGGGUUCCCUGAACAGUAUUGCACUUGUCCCGGCCUGU